AUCUAAUUAGUUUUAAAAAAAAAUAUUAAGUUGUGGAUUUAAAGAUAUAAUUGAAUUAUAUUAGGUA
RNAcentral lists this transfer RNA (67 nucleotides) under Wormaldia unispina. RNAcentral's name for it is "tRNA-His". Lineage: Eukaryota; Metazoa; Arthropoda; Insecta; Trichoptera; Philopotamidae. The record is from RNAcentral.